GAAGCUUCUCGGCCUUUUGGCUAAGAUCAAGUGUAGUAUCUGUUCUUAUCAGUUUUUCAUGCCGGUGGGCAGUAACGCCGGUGUGGGGAUGGGUGCUGCAUGGUAGGGGGCAGGUGUACCAGGGCUUUCCGGGGCUGGUUCUGAGGAAUCAGCUCGACGGCUGCUCCGAUGUGACCUGAUCCCUC
This is a small nuclear RNA of Hyla sarda, 185 nucleotides long. RefSeq annotates it as U2 spliceosomal RNA. The record is from RefSeq and is a predicted model, not a curated record. The transcript has a single exon. NCBI's taxonomy places the organism in Eukaryota, Metazoa, Chordata, Amphibia, Anura, Hylidae.